UAAUACAUGCAAGUCGAGCGAAUGGAUUGAGAGCUUGCUCUCAAGAAGUUAGCGGCGGACGGGUGAGUAACACGUGGGUAACCUGCCCAUAAGACUGGGAUAACUCCGGGAAACCGGGGCUAAUACCGGAUAACAUUUUGAACUGCAUGGUUCGAAAUUGAAAGGCGGCUUCGGCUGUCACUUAUGGAUGGACCCGCGUCGCAUUAGCUAGUUGGUGAGGUAACGGCUCACCAAGGCAACGAUGCGUAGCCGACCUGAGAGGGUGAUCGGCCACACUGGGACUGAGACACGGCCCAGACUCCUACGGGAGGCAGCAGUAGGGAAUCUUCCGCAAUGGACGAAAGUCUGACGGAGCAACGCCGCGUGAGUGAUGAAGGCUUUCGGGUCGUAAAACUCUGUUGUUAGGGAAGAACAAGUGCUAGUUGAAUAAGCUGGCACCUUGACGGUACCUAACCAGAAAGCCACGGCUAACUACGUGCCAGCAGCCGC
RNAcentral lists this ribosomal RNA (489 nucleotides) under marine sediment bacterium ISA-7302. RNAcentral describes it as "bacterial SSU rRNA". It matches the Rfam family "Bacterial small subunit ribosomal RNA", at positions 49 to 518 of the family's 1533-position model. The record is from RNAcentral.